Molecule: ribosomal RNA, 355 nt
Filed under: uncultured bacterium
Lineage: Bacteria
Description: partial 16S ribosomal RNA
Rfam family: Bacterial small subunit ribosomal RNA
Source: RNAcentral
ACUACGGGAGGCAGCAGUGGGGAAUAUUGCGCAAUGUGCGAAAACCUGCCGCAGCGACGCCGCGUGAGGGAUGAAGGUCUUCGGAUCGUACACCUCUGUCAGCAGGGAAGAACGGUCACUGUGCUACUCAGCAGUGAAUUGACGGUACCUGCAAAGGAAGCACCGGCUAACUCCGUUCCAGCAGCCGCGGUAAUACGGAGGGUGCGAGCGUUAAUCGGAAUUACUGGGCGUAAAGCGACCGUAUGCGGUAUGUCAAGUCAAGGGUGAAAUCCCCGCGCUCAACGUGGGAAGUGCCGUUGAAGCUGGCAAACUGGAGGGUGUGAGAGGAUAGUGGAAUGCCAGGUGUAGGAGUGAA